Molecule: ribosomal RNA, 253 nt
Filed under: uncultured bacterium
Lineage: Bacteria
Description: partial 16S ribosomal RNA
Rfam family: Bacterial small subunit ribosomal RNA
Source: RNAcentral
GACGUAGGGCGCGAGCGUUGUCCGGAUUUAUUGGGCGUAAAGAGCUCGUAGGCGGCUUGUCGCGUCGAAUGUGAAAACCCACGGCUCAACUGUGGGCUUGCAUUCGAUACGGGCAGGCUAGAGUUCGGUAGGGGAGACUGGAAUUCCUGGUGUAGCGGUGAAAUGCGCAGAUAUCAGGAGGAACACCGGUGGCGAAGGCGGGACUCUGGGCCGAUACUGACGCUGAUGCGCGAAAGCCAGGGGAGCAAACGGG